Molecule: non-coding RNA, 30 nt
Filed under: Mus musculus (house mouse)
Lineage: Eukaryota; Metazoa; Chordata; Mammalia; Rodentia; Muridae
Source: RNAcentral
UGACGAAACCAGACACCAAGGAGCCCUAGU